UACGUAGGGGGCAAGCGUUGUCCGGAUUUAUUGGGCGUAAAGAGCGUGUAGGCGGCCAGAUAGGUCCGUUGUGAAAACUCGAGGCUCAACCUCGAGACGCCGAUGGAAACCAUCUGGCUAGAGCCCGGAAGAGGCGAGUGGAAUUCCUGGUGUAGCGGUGGAAUGCGCAGAUAUCAGGAGGAACACCGAUAGCGAAGGCAGCUCGCUGGGACGGUACUGACGCUAAGGCGCGAAAGCGUGGGGAGCGAACAGG
RNAcentral lists this ribosomal RNA (253 nucleotides) under uncultured bacterium. RNAcentral's name for it is "partial 16S ribosomal RNA". It matches the Rfam family "Bacterial small subunit ribosomal RNA", at positions 524 to 776 of the family's 1533-position model. The record is from RNAcentral.